CGUGUCGUGAGAUGUUGGGUUAAGUCCCGCAACGAGCGCAACCCUCGCCAUUAGUUGCCAUCAUUUAGUUGGGAACUCUAAUGGGACUGCCGGUGCUAAGCCGGAGGAAGGUGGGGAUCACGUCAAGUCCUCAUGGCCCUUACAGGGUGGGCUACACACGUGCUACAAUGGCGACUACAGAGGGUUAAUCCUUAAAAGUCGUCUCAGUUCGGAUUGUCCUCUGCAACUCGAGGGCAUGAAGUUGGAAUCGCUAGUAAUCGCGGAUCAGCAUGCCGCGGUGAAUACGUUCCCGGGCCUUGUCNANACCGCCCGUCACACCAUGGGAGUCGGUUCUACCCGAAGGCGAUGCGCUAACCCGCAAGGGAGGCAGUCGACCACGGUAGGGUCAGCGACUGGGGUGAAGU
Molecule: ribosomal RNA, 404 nt
Filed under: uncultured Alphaproteobacteria bacterium
Lineage: Bacteria; Pseudomonadati; Pseudomonadota; Alphaproteobacteria
Description: bacterial SSU rRNA
Rfam family: Bacterial small subunit ribosomal RNA
Source: RNAcentral